RNAcentral lists this ribosomal RNA (1358 nucleotides) under uncultured bacterium. RNAcentral's name for it is "bacterial SSU rRNA". It matches the Rfam family "Bacterial small subunit ribosomal RNA", at positions 28 to 1381 of the family's 1533-position model. The record is from RNAcentral.
GAUGAACGCUAGCUACAGGCUUAACACAUGCAAGUCGAGGGGCAGCAUGGUCUUAGCUUGCUAAGGCCGAUGGCGACCGGCGCACGGGUGAGUAACACGUAUCCAACCUGCCGUCUACUCUUGGACAGCCUUCUGAAAGGAAGAUUAAUACAAGAUGGCAUCAUGAGUCCACAUGUUCACAUGAUUAAAGGUAUUCCGGUAGACGAUGGGGAUGCGUUCCAUUAGAUAGUAGGCGGGGUAACGGCCCACCUAGUCUUCGAUGGAUAGGGGUUCUGAGAGGAAGGUCCCCCACAUUGGAACUGAGACACGGUCCAAACUCCUACGGGAGGCAGCAGUGAGGAAUAUUGGUCAAUGGGCGAGAGCCUGAACCAGCCAAGUAGCGUGAAGGAUGACUGCCCUAUGGGUUGUAAACUUCUUUUAUAAAGGAAUAAAGUCGGGUAUGCAUACCCGUUUGCAUGUACUUUAUGAAUAAGGAUCGGCUAACUCCGUGCCAGCAGCCGCGGUAAUACGGAGGAUCCGAGCGUUAUCCGGAUUUAUUGGGUUUAAAGGGAGCGUAGAUGGAUGUUUAAGUCAGUUGUGAAAGUUUGCGGCUCAACCGUAAAAUUGCAGUUGAUACUGGAUAUCUUGAGUGCAGUUGAGGCAGGCGGAAUUCGUGGUGUAGCGGUGAAAUGCUUAGAUAUCACGAAGAACUCCGAUUGCGAAGGCAGCCUGCUAAGCUGCAACUGACAUUGAGGCUCGAAAGUGUGGGUAUCAAACAGGAUUAGAUACCCUGGUAGUCCACACGGUAAACGAUGAAUACUCGCUGUUUGCGAUAUACAGCAAGCGGCCAAGCGAAAGCGUUAAGUAUUCCACCUGGGGAGUACGCCGGCAACGGUGAAACUCAAAGGAAUUGACGGGGGCCCGCACAAGCGGAGGAACAUGUGGUUUAAUUCGAUGAUACGCGAGGAGCCUUACCCGGGCUUAAAUUGCAGAUGAAUUACGGUGAAAGCCGUAAGCCGCAAGGCAUCUGUGAAGGUGCUGCAUGGUUGUCGUCAGCUCGUGCCGUGAGGUGUCGGCUUAAGUGCCAUAACGAGCGCAACCCUUGUUGUCAGUUACUAACAGGUUCCGCUGAGGACUCUGACAAGACUGCCAUCGUAAGAUGUGAGGAAGGUGGGGAUGACGUCAAAUCAGCACGGCCCUUACGUCCGGGGCUACACACGUGUUACAAUGGGGGGUACAGAGGGCCGCUACCACGCGAGUGGAUGCCAAUCCCCAAAACCUCUCUCAGUUCGGACUGGAGUCUGCAACCCGACUCCACGAAGCUGGAUUCGCUAGUAAUCGCGCAUCAGCCACGGCGCGGUGAAUACGUUCCCGGGCCU